RNAcentral lists this non-coding RNA (786 nucleotides) under Corizus sp. 'albomarginatus'. The record is from RNAcentral. Lineage: Eukaryota; Metazoa; Arthropoda; Insecta; Hemiptera; Rhopalidae.
UUAAUUAAAUUGAUUCUAUUUAAUUUGAUUAGCUGUUUAUAUAAUUUUAUAUGUAAAUCUUUGUGAGAGGUAAAUUUAUCUAAAUGAUAUUUUAAUUUAUUAUUUGCAGUUUUUUGUUUUGUAUAUUUUUGAAAAAGGGAUACAGUUAAUAUUUUUAGAUUUGUUUAAGGUUGUGCCAGCAUACGCGGUUAUACAAUUGAUUCAUGUUAAUUUUUUUGGUUUGUAUUUACUUUUAUAUUGAGAAAUUAAUUUUGAUUUUAUUAGGUGAAAUUUUAAUUUUAUUUAUUUGUUUUUGGUAAGGAUUAUAUGAAAUUUAAUGUUUUAGACUAGGAUUAGAUACCCUAUUAUUAUUAAAUGUAAAUUUAUAGCCAUAGUAUUAAUAGUUAUGAUCUUUAAAUUAAAAGAAUUUGGCGGUAAUUUAGUCUUUUCAGAGGAACCUGUCCUGUAAUUGAUAAUCCACGUUGGAUUUUACUUUAAUUUAUUGUUUGUAUAUCUCUGUCAUUGAAUGUUUUAUUAGAAUAUUUUCUUUAAUUAUCAAUUAUGGUUAAUGUCAGGUCAAGGUGCAGCUAUAUUAAAGAUUGAGAUGGGUUACAUUUAAUGUCAUUUAUUGGAUUAUAUUUAUUUGGAUUAAAUAAAUUUUAUGAAAUAGGAUUUGAAAGUAAUUAGCAUUAUUUUAUGUUAAUGAUUUGAGCUCUAAAUUAUGCACAUAUCGCCCGUCACUCUCAUUAUUAAAAUGAGAUAAGUCGUAACAAAGUAAUUUUACUGGAAAGUGAGGUUAGAAUUUUU